This 429-nucleotide ribosomal RNA is filed under the name Pseudomonadota bacterium. RNAcentral describes it as "Proteobacteria bacterium partial 16S ribosomal RNA". It matches the Rfam family "Bacterial small subunit ribosomal RNA", at positions 355 to 776 of the family's 1533-position model. The record is from RNAcentral. Lineage: Bacteria; Pseudomonadati; Pseudomonadota.
UGGGGAAUAUUGGACAAUGGGCGAAAGCCUGAUCCAGCCAUGCCGCGUGUGUGAAGAAGGUCUUCGGAUUGUAAAGCACUUUAAGUUGGGAGGAAGGGCAGUAAGCGAAUACCUUGCUGUUUUGACGUUACCGACAGAAUAAGCACCGGCUAACUCUGUGCCAGCAGCCGCGGUAAUACAGAGGGUGCAAGCGUUAAUCGGAAUUACUGGGCGUAAAGCGCGCGUAGGUGGUUCGUUAAGUUGAAUGUGAAAGCCCCGGGCUCAACCUGGGAACUGCAUCCAAAACUGGCGAGCUAGAGUAGGGCAGAGGGUGGUGGAAUUUCCUGUGUAGCGGUGAAAUGCGUAGAUAUAGGAAGGAACACCAGUGGCGAAGGCGACCACCUGGGCUCAUACUGACACUGGGGUGCGAAAGCGUGGGGAGCAAACAGG